AAAUUGAAGAGUUUGAUCAUGGCUCAGAUUGAACGCUGGCGGCAGGCCUAACACAUGCAAGUCGAACGGUAACAGGAAGCAGCUUGCUGCUUCGCUGACGAGUGGCGGACGGGUGAGUAAUGUCUGGGAAACUGCCUGAUGGAGGGGGAUAACUACUGGAAACGGUGGCUAAUACCGCAUAACGUCGCAAGACCAAAGAGGGGGACCUUCGGGCCUCUUGCCAUCGGAUGUGCCCAGAUGGGAUUAGCUAGUUGGUGAGGUAACGGCUCACCAAGGCGACGAUCCCUAGCUGGUCUGAGAGGAUGACCAGCCACACUGGAACUGAGACACGGUCCAGACUCCUACGGGAGGCAGCAGUGGGGAAUAUUGCACAAUGGGCGCAAGCCUGAUGCAGCCAUGCCGCGUGUAUGAAGAAGGCCUU
Molecule: ribosomal RNA, 421 nt
Filed under: Salmonella enterica
Lineage: Bacteria; Pseudomonadati; Pseudomonadota; Gammaproteobacteria; Enterobacterales; Enterobacteriaceae
Description: bacterial SSU rRNA
Rfam family: Bacterial small subunit ribosomal RNA
Source: RNAcentral